GGAUUUGAGGGCAAUCUGUCACCCCUUUGAUCACCAGGGUUGAUUUGGCUGAUCUGGCUGGCUAGGUGGGUGUGCCCUCCUCCCUCACCGCUCCACAUGCAUCCCUCCAGAAGUUGCACACUCAGUCAAAGAGGACAGCCUUCCCCGAAUAGAGACAGACCAGUCUUCUGUCGAGGGUAUACAAGUAGCUGUGCUCCCCUGCUAGAACCUCCAAAAAGCUCUCAAGGAAUGCAAACUGCUCGUUUGAUUGUAUCAGGACCUGAAUUCUGGCUGAGUAAUAAUUUAAUGAAUUGAUUUGAUAGUUC
This 305-nucleotide small nuclear RNA is filed under the name Erinaceus europaeus (western European hedgehog). Its description in RNAcentral is "7SK RNA". It matches the Rfam family "7SK RNA", at positions 1 to 258 of the family's 331-position model. Rfam says of the family: 7SK was discovered as an abundant small nuclear RNA in the mid-70s but a possible function has only recently been suggested. Two independent studies have found that 7SK RNA binds the CDK9/cyclin T complex (known as elongation factor P-TEFb). Lineage: Eukaryota; Metazoa; Chordata; Mammalia; Eulipotyphla; Erinaceidae. The record is from Rfam by way of RNAcentral.